This 24-nucleotide small nuclear RNA is filed under the name Arabidopsis thaliana (thale cress). RNAcentral's name for it is "snRNA_08381". Lineage: Eukaryota; Viridiplantae; Streptophyta; Magnoliopsida; Brassicales; Brassicaceae. The record is from RNAcentral.
UAAACUUGGCAACAAAAUGACUCA